CCGGGGUCUCCAGCCGCGAAGGGCGGGCCAUUUUGGGGGCGUCGCGGAUGGUCGCGAGUGACCGCCGGCCAAGAUCCCGGGAGCCGUCGGCCAGAGCAUCUUCUGGGCUCUGCUAGAAAACAGCCUCCUGCCUCCCGUUUACUCCAAGGGAAUCGCCGGCCAGGGCCCUUUCUGUCCUUCACCUACCUCUGCAGGAACCAGAAUGCUCUUUCGUCACUUUCUGCAGAAAAUAUCUCCGUUGUCCCCCGACGUCAGAGCCUCCUGCACCUCAGCUCGUCUCCCUUUUCCCUGACCCGAACCAGAACCCUGAUCUUGGAUUCUCUUUUAUCUUGUGGCCUCCGCAAUCAUUUUGCAGCCUGACAUCUUUUUCUAUGUAAUAUUUAUCACCUUCUAGUUAAUAACAUAAUUUUAAAAAUCAUUUUCAUCAUUUUGCCUCCCGUCCUACGAUAAGCUUCACCAGAGCAAGGAUCUCUUGUUCUGUGCCUUGCUUCACCCCAAACGCCUACAACAGGGACUGGUACAUACUACAUGCUUAAUAAAUAUUUGUUGACUGAAUGAAUGGAAACCGGGGACGCAAAUUUACCAAAAUAGGAAUGACCUUCGUUCUAAACUGAAAGGGACUCAGUUGUAAAUUUACCUCAGAGUUAGCCUCUCAAAAAGUAGGGAUGCUGAUCCCAGUUCCUAGAAAAGAGUAAAAACUAGGGGCUCUGCAAACUGCAGGACCGCUCAUACCAGCUGCAGUUAAAACAACAUUAAAGCUGGCAUCCUAGCUGUUAACCGUUGAGAUAUGUAAAAAAGAGAUUGACUUCGUUUACGUUGCUGGGCUCCGGAUUUUGUUCUCAUUUAGUUACAACAAAUAUUUACCCUGUAUCUAUUGGAGUAGAAGAGGAAUCUUCGAUGCAGCACA
This 907-nucleotide long non-coding RNA is filed under the name Homo sapiens (human). Its description in RNAcentral is "HSALNT0015119". Lineage: Eukaryota; Metazoa; Chordata; Mammalia; Primates; Hominidae. The record is from RNAcentral.